Molecule: ribosomal RNA, 445 nt
Filed under: uncultured bacterium
Lineage: Bacteria
Description: partial 16S ribosomal RNA
Rfam family: Bacterial small subunit ribosomal RNA
Source: RNAcentral
GUGAGGAAUAAUGCACAAUGGAGGCAACUCUGACGCAGCCAUGCCGCGUGCAGGAAGAAGGCGCUACGCGUUGUAAACUGCUUUUAACCGGGAAGAAACCCCAGGACGUGUCCUGGGUUGACGGUACCGGAGGAAUAAGCACCGGCUAACUUCGUGCCAGCAGCCGCGGUAAUACGAAGGGUGCAAGCGUUAUCCGGAUUCAUUGGGUUUAAAGGGUGCGUAGGCGGAGCGUUAAGUCAGUGGUGAAAUCCUGCAGCUUAACUGUAGACUUGCCAUUGAUACUGGCGCUCUUGAGUGCGCUUGAAGUGGGCGGAAUGUGCCGUGUAGCGGUGAAAUGCUUAGAUAUGGCACAGAACACCAAUUGCGAAGGCAGCUCACUAAGGCGAUACUGACGCUGAGGCACGAAAGCGUGGGGAUCGAACAGGAUUAGAUACCCGGGUAGUCC